AAAGUUAGUGGCGGACGGGUGAGUAACGCGUGAAUAACCUGCCCUGUACCGGGGGACAACAGUUGGAAACGGCUGCUAAUACCGCAUAAGCGCACGGUUCCGCAUGGAACAGUGUGAAAAACUCCGGUGGUACAGGAUGGAUUCGCGUCUGAUUAGCCAGUUGGUGGGGUAACGGCCUACCAAAGCAACGAUCAGUAGCCGGCCUGAGAGGGUGAACGGCCACAUUGGGACUGAGACACGGCCCAAACUCC
RNAcentral lists this ribosomal RNA (251 nucleotides) under uncultured Lachnospiraceae bacterium. RNAcentral's name for it is "partial 16S ribosomal RNA". It matches the Rfam family "Bacterial small subunit ribosomal RNA", at positions 88 to 339 of the family's 1533-position model. The record is from RNAcentral. Lineage: Bacteria; Bacillati; Bacillota; Clostridia; Lachnospirales; Lachnospiraceae.